UGGCUCAGAUUGAACGCUGGCGGCAGGCUUAACACAUGCAAGUCGAACGGUAGCAGGUAAGUACUUGUACUUACGCUGACGAGUGGCGGACGGGUGAGUAAAGCUUGGGAAUCUGGCUUAUGGAGGGGGAUAACCAUUGGAAACGAUGGCUAAUACCGCAUAGUAUCGAGAGAUUAAAGGGUGGGACUUUUAGCCACCUGCCAUAAGAUGAGCCCAAGUGAGAUUAGGUAGUUGGUGGGGUAAGGGCCUACCAAGCCGACGAUCUCUAGCUGGUCUGAGAGGAUGGCCAGCCACACUGGGACUGAGACACGGCCCAGACUCCUACGGGAGGCAGCAGUGGGGAAUAUUGCGCAAUGGGGGGAACCCUGACGCAGCCAUGCCGCGUGAAUGAAGAAGGCCUUCGGGUUGUAAAGUUCUUUCGGUGAUGAGGAAGGUGUAUUGUUUAAUAGAUAAUGCAAUUGACGUUAGUCACAGAAGAAGCACCGGCUAACUCCGUGCCAGC
RNAcentral lists this ribosomal RNA (502 nucleotides) under Mergibacter septicus. RNAcentral's name for it is "bacterial SSU rRNA". It matches the Rfam family "Bacterial small subunit ribosomal RNA", at positions 20 to 512 of the family's 1533-position model. Lineage: Bacteria; Pseudomonadati; Pseudomonadota; Gammaproteobacteria; Pasteurellales; Pasteurellaceae. The record is from RNAcentral.